GCCUCAGCCUCCCUAGUGCUGGGAAUACAGAAUGGUACAGCAACCUAAGAAACGUUAGUGCACAAGAAGAUUCCAAAAACAGUGCAUUGACCUCUUGAAAUGUGUAUAACUACUUUUAGUUCCUCCUGAGGCUGUGGAAAUAAAAAUGAGGCUGAUGCCAGGCCUAGGCCAUUGUAUUCGAAAACUUGGAUGAGUUAUGAAAAGGAUU
Fukomys damarensis (Damara mole-rat) is the source of this 208-nucleotide long non-coding RNA. RefSeq lists it as uncharacterized. The transcript is spliced from 3 exons. NCBI's taxonomy places the organism in Eukaryota, Metazoa, Chordata, Mammalia, Rodentia, Bathyergidae. The record is from RefSeq and is a predicted model, not a curated record.